This 89-nucleotide transfer RNA is filed under the name Selenomonadales bacterium. RNAcentral describes it as "tRNA-Ser". It matches the Rfam family "tRNA". Rfam says of the family: Transfer RNA (tRNA) molecules are approximately 80 nucleotides in length. Their secondary structure includes four short double-helical elements and three loops (D, anti-codon, and T loops). Further hydrogen bonds mediate the characteristic L-shaped molecular structure. tRNAs have two regions of fundamental functional importance: the anti-codon, which is responsible for specific mRNA codon recognition, and the 3' end, to which the tRNAs corresponding amino acid is attached (by aminoacyl-tRNA synthetases). tRNAs cope with the degeneracy of the genetic code in two manners: having more than one tRNA (with a specific anti-codon) for a particular amino acid; and 'wobble' base-pairing, i.e. permitting non-standard base-pairing at the 3rd anti-codon position. The record is from RNAcentral. Lineage: Bacteria; Bacillati; Bacillota; Negativicutes; Selenomonadales.
GGAGAGAUGGCCGAGUGGUUUAUGGCGCUAGUCUUGAAAACUAGUGACCCCGCAAGGGGCCGGGGGUUCGAAUCCCUCUCUCUCCGCCA